This 284-nucleotide long non-coding RNA is filed under the name Elaeis guineensis (African oil palm). RNAcentral's name for it is "long non-coding RNA (EGUI_LNC031390)". Lineage: Eukaryota; Viridiplantae; Streptophyta; Magnoliopsida; Arecales; Arecaceae. The record is from RNAcentral.
GGCAGGCCAGUAAGGUAUUAGCUCUGACCCCUGAAUUGGUGCAUUUAAUGCCUAAGAUAGAGCAUCAACACAUAAAAUGAACAAAAUAAGGAGAGAAAGGGCAACGUUGGUGAAGCUCGAUCAUUGAGUGAAAGGACUCAAUCGAGGCAUCAUUGAUCAGAAUGGCAAAGCUUGAAGUCUUCAUGCAGUCCAUGAUCUAAUCAAUCCAUCUAUUUUGAAAGUCGAGCUUCUGAAACAUCUGACACAGGAAGCGCUAGCUCAUCCAAUCAUAAGCUCGCUUCUUA